AGUGGAUGGGGAGCAACCUAGUUGUGCGCGUGUAAAGGUAGUGCCAAGAAAAGCGAUGAUCAUGUUGAAAAUCAAUUCCCGGUACCCGAAACCGACACAGGUGGGCAAGUAGAGAAUACUAAGGGGCGCGAGGUAACUCUCUCCAAGGAACUCGGCAAAAUGACCCCGUAACUUAGGGAGAAGGGGUGCCACCGAGAGGUGGUCGCAGUGAAGAGGCCCAGGCGACUGUUUAGCAAAAACAUAGGUCUCCGCAAACUCGAAAGAGGAGGUAUAGGGGCUGACGCCUGCCCAGUGCCGGAAGGUUAAAGAAGUUGGUCAGUUUUAGGAUGAAGCUAGCGACUGAAGCCCCGGUGAACGGCGGCCGUAACUAUAACGGUCCUAAGGUAGCGAAAUUCCUUGUCGGGUAAGUUCCGACCCGCACGAAAGGCGUAACGAUCUGGGCGCUGUCUCGGAGAGAGGCUCGGCGAAAUAGGAUUGUCUGUGAAGAUACGGACUACCUGCAUUUGGACAGAAAGACCCUAUGAAGCUUUACUAUAGCUUGGAAUUGUGUUCGGGCUUCCUGUGCGCAGGAUAGGUGGGAGGCGUAGAAGGUAUUCUUGUGGGGAUACUGGAGCCAACGGUGAGAUACCACUCUCAGGAGGCUAGAAUUCUAACUUAAUUAAGGACAGUUUCAGGUGGGUAGUUUGACUGGGGCGGUCGCCUCCAAAAAGGUAACGGAGGCGUACAAAGGUUCCCUCAGACUGGUUGGAAAUCAGUCGAAGAGUGCAAAGGCAGAAGGGAGCUUGACUGCGAGAAGUACAGUUCGAGCAGGGUGGAAACACGGUCUUAGUGAUCCGACGGUGCUGUGUGGAAGGGCCGUCGCUCAACGGAUAAAAGUUACUCUAGGAUAACAGGCUGAUCUCCCCCAAGAGUUCACAUCGACGGGGAGGUUUGGCACCUCGAUGUCGGCUCAUCGCAACCUGGGGCGGAAGUACGUCCCAAGGGUUGGGCUGUUCGCCCAUUAAAGCGGUACGUGGGCUGGGUUCAGAACGUCGUGAGACAGUUCGGUCCAUAUCCGAUGUAGGCGUGAGAAUAUUGAGAGGAGCCUUCCUUAGUACGAGAGGACCGGGAAGGACGCACCGCUGGUGUACCUGUUAUGAUGCCAAUUGUAAACGCAGGGUAGCCAAGUGCGGAGAGGAUAACCGCUGAAAGCAUCUAAGUGGGAAGCCCACCUCAAGAUGAGUAUUCUGGUGUAAGGUCACGGGAAGACGACCCGUAAAUAGGCACGAGGUGGAAGUGCAGAGAUGUAUGAAGCCGAAGUGUACUAAUAGACCGUCGGC
This 1319-nucleotide ribosomal RNA is filed under the name metagenome. RNAcentral's name for it is "bacterial LSU rRNA". It matches the Rfam family "Bacterial large subunit ribosomal RNA", at positions 1561 to 2925 of the family's 2925-position model. The record is from RNAcentral.